This 497-nucleotide ribosomal RNA is filed under the name uncultured bacterium. Its description in RNAcentral is "partial 16S ribosomal RNA". It matches the Rfam family "Bacterial small subunit ribosomal RNA", at positions 28 to 507 of the family's 1533-position model. The record is from RNAcentral.
GAUGAACGCUGGCGGCGUGCCUAAUACAUGCAAGUCGAGCGAACGGACGAUAAUCUCGCUUCUCUGGUGUUAGCGACGGACGGGUGAGUAACACGUGGAUAACCUACUUAUAAGACUGGGAUAACUUCGGGAAACCGUAGCUAAUACCGGGUAAUUGUUUUAACCGCAUGGUUCAAAAGUGAAAUACGGUCUUGCUGUCACUUAUAGAUGGAUCCGCGCUGCAUUAGCUAGUUGGUAAGGUAACGGCUUACCAAGUCAACGAUGCAUAGCCGGCCUGAGAGGGUGGUCGGCCAGACUGGAACUGAGACACGGUCCAGACUGCUACGGGAGGCAGCAGUAGGGAAUAUUCCGCAAUGGGCGAUAGCCUGACGGAGCAACGACGCGGGAGUGAUGAAGGUCUUCGGAUCGUAAAACUCUGUUAUUAGGGAAGAACAUAUGUGUAAGUAACUGUGCACAUCUUGACGGUACCUAAUCAGAAAGCCACGGCUAACUACGUG